AAUUGUAUAAUAUAAAAAAUAUAUUUGAUUUCCAAUCAAAAAUUCUGAUAAUUUCAGUUCAAUUA
RNAcentral lists this transfer RNA (65 nucleotides) under Perga condei. RNAcentral describes it as "tRNA-Gly". Lineage: Eukaryota; Metazoa; Arthropoda; Insecta; Hymenoptera; Pergidae. The record is from RNAcentral.